This is a long non-coding RNA of Drosophila sulfurigaster albostrigata, 269 nucleotides long. RefSeq lists it as uncharacterized. The transcript has 2 exons. Lineage: Eukaryota; Metazoa; Arthropoda; Insecta; Diptera; Drosophilidae. The record is from RefSeq and is a predicted model, not a curated record.
CGUUUACUCAAUUUAUGAAAUUUUGCAUAUUUCUUUUCACAUUCCAAUCAUCAUUGCAGCAGCUCGACCUAAGCAAAUAAACAAGCGACAACUACUUGUACAAUUGUGCAAACUUUGUUUUGAAUCCCCAUCAACUGCAGACACAUAUGCAUGAGAAGACCAGCAAAAUAAAAGAUAUUUGAGAGAAUGAAAUUGGCGUUUGUGAUUAAAAUGCAGAGUUGAACAUAGAUAAUAGAAAUCAGACACAGCGAUGCUACUCGGCUUGCUAA